Molecule: unclassified non-coding RNA, 244 nt
Filed under: plant metagenome
Description: partial contains small subunit ribosomal RNA, internal transcribed spacer 1, and 5.8S ribosomal RNA
Source: RNAcentral
UCUCCGUUGGUGAACCAGCGGAGGGAUCAUUACAGGACUCGCAUGACUCCUACAACCCUGUGAACUUAACUAUAAGCACGUUGCUUCGGCGGGUGUCUCGGAGGGGGUUCUCCCUCCCCGAGACGCUAAACCCGCCGGCAGCCUACUAUACUCUGUCUCAUUGCGUUGGCAUCUCGAGUACAAUCAAACAAGUUAAAACUUUCAACAACGGAUCUCUUGGUUCUGGCACGAUGAAGAACGCAGC